CAGGGUGAAGGCGGCGCUGGCCGAGGAGCAGGACCCCGAGCGGCGCCAGGUGCUGGACGGGCGGCAGCUGGCGCUGAAGGUCAGCGCCAACAGCGUGUACGGGUUCACCGGGGCACAGGCGGGGAGGCUGCCAUGUCUGGAGAUAUCACAGAGCGUGACGGGUUUCGGGCGGCAGAUGAUCGAGAGAACCAAGCAGCUGGUGGAGAGCCAGUACCCGGACGUGCAGGU
Long non-coding RNA from Zonotrichia leucophrys gambelii, 228 nucleotides. RefSeq lists it as uncharacterized. NCBI's taxonomy places the organism in Eukaryota, Metazoa, Chordata, Aves, Passeriformes, Passerellidae. The record is from RefSeq and is a predicted model, not a curated record. The transcript has 3 exons.